Taeniopygia guttata (zebra finch) is the source of this 2791-nucleotide non-coding RNA. The record is from RefSeq and is a predicted model, not a curated record. NCBI's taxonomy places the organism in Eukaryota, Metazoa, Chordata, Aves, Passeriformes, Estrildidae.
UAACACCAGCCAGAUUGUUAUUAUUGAGAUAGCUUUGUUGCCGUUAACAAUCAUUUGUAAUUACCAAGAGGUUUUACAUAAUUCAUGCUAAAAUCUCACGUUUACCUGUCGCUGGGACCUUGUGGUUAGCUCAACUUAGUUAAGACUGAAUGCUUGAGGUAUUGCAAGGUUUCAAUUCUACUUGAAAUAAUGUAGCUGGUUAUAAUGAAAAAUCCUGUCAAAUGAAAUUAUUUCCUUUUUUUGUUUAGUGAUAACACCAAGGAACAUGCUGUCCACUGAAGAUUUUGGGAAAUAUAUAUUUAUCUCCAUGUUUCCUUUUUGAAAACAGAUGUGCAGGAAAGUGCCUAUUUCUUCACUGAAAAAUUGAAAAAUUUUAAUACUAAAAUUUUGACUAAGAUAUUCAAAACCAGGUCAACAUCUUCCCUGGAAAUCAAAAAAUAAGAGAUUCUGAUAUACAUAAAAACUCAGCUUCUACCUAGGAACAAAUUACGGCAGAAUUUUUGCCAGCAUGGAUAAUUCACUCUGUGCUCCUGUGCUCACCAUGAACUGGAAAUAAGUGAGCUUGUUUGCACAUCAUUGUAAAUUUUACUCCUCAGAUGGCUGCUUAACGGAAGGUGUGCCAUCUCCUGCAGGUUACUUAAUAUGAACACAACUUCCUCUGAAUAUCUUGAAAUUAAACUGUGUAAUGUGGGUAGUGGAUGUAAUAAAUAACACACUGCUUAUAAAUAUGCACCUCUUAGAAAAUGCAGAAUAAAUAACUGAUGCCAUAACCUUCCUUCAGAGGCAAAGGAUGUGAAAACCAUGAAAUAGGAUGAGCUUGACUGAGAGUCAUGCCAAUUAAUUUUCAAAAUAGGGUUCUCUGGACUCUGUUUAUCAUAAGCUUCUAGAGAUGCUCCAAGGUGUCUGCAUCUGAAUCUGCACAAGUUGAAACUAAAGCCAAACCAUGGUUUGGUUUGAAUUCAGGAUGAAAUCUCAGGUGCUUGGCAGGCUCUGGUGAAGCUGAACAAGUGGAAGGAUACCUGGGACCAGGUAAGUUCAUGAACAUCUGGUCAGGUACAGUCUGAUGGGGACAGUUCCUCUUGAAGGCUUCGUCCUGACCUGGAACUGAAAUUACUGUUUUAAAGUUUUGAAGUUAAAAUUGUGUGACUUUUUCUCUCAGGAAGCACAUCUGAAUUGUGCCAUCUGAGCUACAGAACUUGUUUGAUGCUAUAAAUGGAACUUAAGGAGGCUUUUGAAAGUUUUUAAACAACUGAAUCUUUAAACUUGAUUUUUCUUAAUUAAUAGUAGGAGGUUUCUUUGCUUUAGAUACUGAAUCUUCUAAACUGGUGUAAAAAUCUUACCUUAUAUGUGGAAAACUUAUCUUAGUUCUGUAAAUUACUGAAUAUUUCAUGUGUCCCUUUCAGAAAACAGAUGGAAAUAUGCACUUUGGGAAUGUUCCUCUCUAAUGUAGAUGAGUGACUUCAGGGCCGAAUUCUGUGUUGGAAAGAGCUCCUUCUGUUUUCUUGGCAUAACCUGCUGUGCACAGAUGUCACCUUCCUGCUUUUGACCAGACCACAGAAACCAGGAAAGCAAUUUCUUCCCCAUCCUUGCUGGCAUCCCCAGGAGGCAAGUUACUUAUGACUCUGAUGUGAGACAGAAAUGGAGCAGGAUUUUGCUUUGUGUUUGAGGAUGUCAAAGUUGAUCUGUGCCUGAAGAAUCAAGAAAACUUGCAUUUUGUAUGGGCAGUUGCCAUGCAGCUCCCUGCUCUGGUGAAGAAUACUAUAAAAACUUUGGUGCCUAAGUAAUUUAUGAUUAGUUGAAAACUGUUGUGUUUCAUUGCUCACACAUGUUCUACUCAAGAAGAAGCUGUAAAAUGGAUCUGGGGCCCAUCCUAAGCGAGAAUCUUUGUCUCUCUCUCUCUCAAAGAGUAAAGCUCUCUUUCAAAAAUGUAACGCUGUGUGUGACGCAGGAGUUGCCAUGGAAAAAUACAUUGAGCCAAUCAUUCAUGAUUUAUUUAUAGCAAUUAGAAUGCACAUCCCAAGAUCCAAUAGUAACUUUGAUUAAAAAAAAAAAAAAUAGAAAAAUCAUCCAGGCAAAGGAUAGAAGCAUGUAAAUUGUUGGGAAUGCUUUUGAGUCUGUAUGGUUAAUAUAUUAUUUAAAAAAUUGACUAUGUAUGUUCCUGGACAGGGCUUUGAAGUAUAAAUGCUGCUGAUAUUUGCUUCUAUAUUUUUGCUGCUGAUAAUGUUAUUGCUGUUGUCCUACACUUACCGUCUGUUCAGUGCCUAUUUAAUGGGUAUAGUAAAUAGCAGUUCAAAGUGAGAUUUUUCUUCUAAUCAUCUCUUUUGGAAAACAUUUGUGUAAAAGUGAAUGCUUUGGAGAAAUCUGUACACCAGUAUCUUGCUGGAAACAUGGUGCCCAAGAUCCUUAGAGCUGGAUACACUUGUCUGUGGUGUUUUAACUACUACAGGCAGUGAAUGCCUCCCUCCUGAUUGCUUCAAAUUGCAUUCAGUGAGAAACCUUUUAGUUAUCUCUUUUGAUGAACAUUAACUGUAUUUCAUUGUUGACUUUUUUGUAGGCAACUGCUAAAGUAUCAAAAAUUGUGAUCUCCUGCACAUGGGGGAAUCUCAGUAUUGAAACCUGUGGAUGCCCCAGACCUGGAAGUGUUCAAGGCCAGCUUGGAUGAGGUCCUGAGCUGCUUGGUCUAGUGGAAGGAGUCCCUGGACCAGGGGUGAUUUUUAUGGUCCCUUUCAACCAAACCAUUCUAUGGUAUUUGCUUUAUUUUGGGGCAAAUAUAAAAAUCAAACAGCCAAAA